Molecule: non-coding RNA, 705 nt
Organism: Camellia sinensis
Lineage: Eukaryota; Viridiplantae; Streptophyta; Magnoliopsida; Ericales; Theaceae
Source: RefSeq, a predicted model, not a curated record
AAAAGGUAGCUUGAAGAAGUAAGAGUGCAGCAUGAAUUAUUUAGAGGCCUUGGCCCUUCGAGAAGAAAUGCUUCUUUGGCGGGGAGAAGGAAUCGACGUUGACGGUUAACUAGGUUUGGAAGGGAAGAGAAAAAUAAUGGAGUCUAGAUUUGUUCAGUUGAUUUGGUGCUUGUGCUGGCCUCCUUUUUCUCCAAAAGUUUUACUCAUCAAUUUUUAGAAAUAAAAAUAACAAUUUCUAUAGCUUGCAAUGGUUCCAAAGGGAAGGCACCAUAUUUCUGUGUGAUAAUGCAUGGAUUUGGGCUGGAUGAGAGAGGUUGAAGAUGAGAAAAUCUUUGGGUAAUGUUGUAGAUCCAAUUACCGUGAUUGGAGGAGGCAAAAACCCAGGGGAAGCACCUUCCUAUGGAGCUGAUGUCCUGAGACUCUGGGUUUCAAGUGUAGAUUAUACUAGCGAUGUGCUGAUUGGGCCUCAAGUCCUCCGCCAAAUGUCUGACAUAUAUAGGAAGAUGUGAGGAACAUUAUGAUUUCUUUUAGCAAAUCUUCAUGAUUGGGAGGGUGAUAAUGUUGUUCCAUAUAGUGAUCUUCCCAUGAUUGAUCAGCAUGCGCUGUUUCAGCUUGAAAAUGUUGUACAGAACAUCAAAGACAGCUUCAAAAAUUAUCAAUUCUUCAAAAUUUUCCAGAUUUCUAUUUUGAUGCUGCCAAAGAUCG